UACGUAGGUGGCGAGCGUUGUCCGGAUUUAUUGGGUUUAAAGGGUGCGUAGGCGGCCCCGCAAGUCAGCGGUGAAAUCCGGCAGCUCAACUGUCGAUGUGCCGCUGGUACUGCGGGGCUUGAGUGGGGUCGAGGCAGGCGGAAUUGACGGUGUAGCGGUGAAAUGCUUAGAUAUCGUCAAGAACACCGAUAGCGCAGGCAGCUUGCCAGGCCCCAACUGACGCUGAGGCACGAAAGUGCGGGGAUCAAACAGG
This 253-nucleotide ribosomal RNA is filed under the name uncultured bacterium. RNAcentral describes it as "partial 16S ribosomal RNA". It matches the Rfam family "Bacterial small subunit ribosomal RNA", at positions 524 to 776 of the family's 1533-position model. The record is from RNAcentral.